This is a long non-coding RNA of Polyodon spathula (Mississippi paddlefish), 166 nucleotides long. RefSeq lists it as uncharacterized. The record is from RefSeq and is a predicted model, not a curated record. The transcript is spliced from 3 exons. NCBI's taxonomy places the organism in Eukaryota, Metazoa, Chordata, Actinopteri, Acipenseriformes, Polyodontidae.
CUCCGGAAGAUACAACAACACUCGUCACAGAGCCAUCAACUGCAGCAUCUACAACAGAGGAGAAAACCACCACUGAAGAAUUCACAACACCAGAAACCACAGAAACCACAACAGUGGCAUUCACAACAGCUGAGACAACCAAUACAGAAGGAACAACGCAAGCUAU